Molecule: small RNA, 131 nt
Filed under: Citrobacter freundii
Lineage: Bacteria; Pseudomonadati; Pseudomonadota; Gammaproteobacteria; Enterobacterales; Enterobacteriaceae
Also listed under: 5 other names
Description: RtT sRNA
Rfam family: RtT RNA
About the family: This family represents a bacterial cis-regulatory element known as RtT RNA. The exact function of RtT is unknown although it is thought that it may be involved in changing the cellular response in relation to amino acid starvation.
Source: RNAcentral
UAUUCUGCCCAUGCGGGAAGGAUGAGAAGCUUCGACCAAGGUUCGAUUCGAGCGUAGCGAGAAAGCGUUGCCGCAGGCAACGACCCGAAGGGCGAAGCGCGCAGCGCUGAGUCAUCCUUCCCCCACCACCA